AUUGAACGCUGGCGGCAGGCCUAACACAUGCAAGUCGAACGGUAACAGGGAUCAGCUUGCUGAUUCGCUGACGAGUGGCGGACGGGUGAGUCAUGUCUGUGAAACUGCCUGAUGGAGGGGGAUAACUACUGGAAACGGUAGCUAAUACCGCAUAACGUCGCAAGACCAAAGAGGGGGACCUUCGGGCCUCUUGCCAUCGGCUGUGCCCAGAUGGGAUUAGCUAGUAGGUGGGGUAACGGCUCACCUAGGCGACGAUCCCUAGCUGGUCUGAGAGGAUGACCAGCCACACUGGAACUGAGACACGGUCCAGACUCCUACGGGAGGCAGCAGUGGGGAAUAUUGCACAAUGGGCGCAAGCCUGAUGCAGCCAUGCCGCGUGUAUGAAGAAGGCCUUCGGGUUGUAAAGUACUUUCAGCGGGGAGGAAGGGAGUAAAGUUAAUACCUUUGCUCAUUGACGUUACCCGCAGAAGAAGCACCGGCUAACUCCGUG
This 490-nucleotide ribosomal RNA is filed under the name uncultured bacterium. RNAcentral describes it as "partial 16S ribosomal RNA". It matches the Rfam family "Bacterial small subunit ribosomal RNA", at positions 30 to 507 of the family's 1533-position model. The record is from RNAcentral.